RNAcentral lists this ribosomal RNA (468 nucleotides) under uncultured bacterium. RNAcentral describes it as "partial 16S ribosomal RNA". It matches the Rfam family "Bacterial small subunit ribosomal RNA", at positions 28 to 507 of the family's 1533-position model. The record is from RNAcentral.
GACGAACGCUGGCGGCGUGCUUAACACAUGCAAGUCGAACGGAAAGGCCCUGCUUUUGUGGGGUUCUCGAGUGGCGAACGGGUGAGUAACACGUGAGUAACCUGCCCCUGACUUUGGGAUAACAUCAGGAAACUGGGGCUAAUACCGGAUAGGAGCUCCUGCUGCAUGGUGGGGGUUGGAAAGUUUCGGCGGUUGGGGAUGGACUCGCGGCUUAUCAGCUUGUUUGUGGGGUAGUGGCUUACCAAGGCUUUGACGGGUAGCCGGCCUGAGAGGGUGACCGGCCACCUUGGGACUGAGGUACGGAGCAGAAUCCUAUGGGAGGCAACAGUGGGAAGCCUUGCGCAAUGAGCGGAAGCGUGAUGCGGAGGCGCCGGGUGCGGAAUACCGGCCUACGAGUUGUGAACAGAUUUCGAAUGUGCCGAAGAGUGCUUGACGGUAAUGAGUAAAAAAGCACCGGCUAACUACGUG